Panicum virgatum (switchgrass) is the source of this 1148-nucleotide long non-coding RNA. RefSeq lists it as uncharacterized. NCBI's taxonomy places the organism in Eukaryota, Viridiplantae, Streptophyta, Magnoliopsida, Poales, Poaceae. The record is from RefSeq and is a predicted model, not a curated record. The transcript has 2 exons.
GCUCCAGUCACCAGCGGCACAGUCUCGCGGCGGGAUGCAAUACAAGCACCCAAGCCGCCGGCACCUGCAUAGGCCUACAGCAGCAAGCCCCAAUCGAAUGGAUCUUGCAAGCGGCAUGAACCAGCAGCGGCGGUGCGGCAGCCCGGCCAGCGACCGCUGCUCUUCUUCCUCCACGAUGGGCAGGCAUCACACGGGCAGUUCUCCUUUCUGCUGGAGCCACGCAUCGUCAUCUGCGGAGGCAUCGUAGCUGUGAUCUGCUUUGGAGUUCGGAUCUGAACGGUCCCGUUCUUCUCACACAUGAAGGAUCACCAGGUAGAAAUCUCUUAUCAAACACCAAGCAAUUGUUGAUCCGGUAGUUUUUUCCCUUCCCAUUCCCAAUCUCAUCUCUCAUCCAUUUAGGAUCAAUUUGGGAGAUGAUUAUCCGAGCUCCAGAAGAUAUGGUGAAAUCAAUUUUUUUAUAGAAAUAGCAUUACGGUGCCAGCGAGGAAAUUGGAUGCUACAACGUCCAAUGGAAAGCAAGUGACAUACUUUUUUCUUAGAUCUGAAAGCAAAUCCAUCGAUCUUGAGACCAUGGUAUUUUUUUCUCUCAUUUAGCAGCCUCAUGAAUCACUGGAACCAAGCUUUCACAGUCACUCUCCUCAACGAGCAAAUCUGCACACGAGCAGGAGUUGUAUCUCCCUCCAUGCGUUGUUUCUUAUUUAUAUGCUUCUCUGUACCCCUUGUUCUUCUAAUUGGUUGGGGUCAAAGAUCUGUUGCCCUAAAACAAAAAAUGUCCACAUUUUUCCUUACAGCAUGCAGAGGGGAAUGCCGGAACAAUAUUGUUCUCGAUGGAUCUGCUUCGAUGAGCUGACAACAUGACUAACUGCAAGUAAUUGAUGAGGAAGAAAAGAUGUGGCAUACAAGUACAUCCGCAGUUGAUGAUUCAAAGACUCUAGAUGUAAAGUUUGAUGGAGCUAGCAAUCUUGUUUUUUCUCUCAAUGUACUCGAAGCAUUCCAUUUUUCUAUUUUUACAUUUUCUAGUAAUCCUUUUCCUAUCUUUGUUGUCUAGUAGUGCAAACGACGAAAAUGCUCAUUGUAUCAGGUCUAAAUGUAAAAAUUUACUAUUGUGAAUGUAAUCUCUAUAUUAUUGAGAAGUAAAUACCCAACAA